This is an RNA transcript of Talpa occidentalis (Iberian mole), 3994 nucleotides long. It is a transcript of the gene named protein phosphatase with EF-hand domain 1, with no coding region annotated. The transcript is spliced from 24 exons. The record is from RefSeq and is a predicted model, not a curated record. NCBI's taxonomy places the organism in Eukaryota, Metazoa, Chordata, Mammalia, Eulipotyphla, Talpidae.
CCUGGAGUCCCGAGCAGGGCGGGCAGGAAGCGCCCUUCCGAGCAGGGAGGGCUUCAGGCCGCGAGGGGUCAGCGGGCCUGCUGUGGGGUCGUUGUCGUGUUGGCGUCUAUUUCGCCACGGUUGCCACAAGGCCGGUGGUCAGUCGCCUCUUGCCGGAGAAUGUGGCCCUGACUGCUCCCCUGGCGUUUUCCAGAGCAUUCUUCCCCUCUUCCCCUCCCCAAGCCUGAGAGGGGCGAAAAGUGGCGGGCUUUCGUGGAGGGCUUUUUCGGGCCUGGGCCUGGGGUGGGGUUAGGGACGGUGGGGUAGACAGGUGGCUCUUUAUGGCCGGGGAGAGUGAGUGAGUGAAGCACGACCCGCCACAAGAUUUGAGGGGCCCCGUGCAAAGGGCGAGUUGCAGGUCCCCUGUUCAAAAGUGACCAAGAAUUCGGGCCGCGAAGGUGUCCGCACAGGGGCCUGCUGCUCGGCCUCCAGAACUAGCCCCUGGGACCUCCCUUACCAAGGACCCUCGUGUGGUCUCCCUUCUUGGCUUUCAUGAUCAGAGCCACGUGCCUUCCCGGGAGCUUCUGGGUGCGGCUUCACCUUUCCAGGCCGGCUCCGCUGCCCUUAAGCUUCAAAACCCACUUGAAACCAUUGGGGGAGCAUCGUUAAGCGCCCAGUUGGACAUGACGCUUGAAGCCUGCAGCUGUCUUUCCCCUGGCAUCUCCUCCGAGGCUGGCAGGAUGCUGGAGUAACAAGACUGAAAGCAGCCCCUUCAGCCAGGCACCUGGAAGAAACAGGUGAAGAAGUGGAAGCCUAAGAGUUUGAAUGCCUUGACUGAGACUAAUUUGCUGACUGGGAGAACUCUUCCUUGCCCAGCUGGCCAGGGAACGUCUGAGAAGAGGCUAGAACCUUCAUUUUGCAAACACGUAAGACCUCUGCAUCUCCUCGAGAAGAUUUCUUCUUGUUUUCAUUUCUGUUCAAACACCUGGGGUGAGGACAGACAUCUACAUUGCCAAGCAGAAGAAACAGAAUUUGUGACUGAAGUGGAUCUGCUAGGAGUGGCUCUUCACAACAUAAAGGGAGGCCCCUUUUAAUUCUUGUCGUGGAAUGAAGAAUUGAAUUCAAGAACAAAAAAUUUAGAAGACAUGGGCUGUAACAUUUCAUCUGCAACGAAGGACAGUAAGUCUGAGAUAGCGCUGAAAGCCGCACUUAUCAUCCAGAACUGGUACCGAAGUUACAGCGCUCGGCUGAAGGCCCGACAGCGCUAUGCCCUCACCAUCUUCCAGUCCAUUGAAUAUGCUGAUGAGCAAGGACAACUGCAACUAUCCAAUUUUUUUUCGUUCUUGUUGGAUAACUACACACACGUAAAUCAAAAUGACCCAGAAUUCGUGACUCGAUUAUAUGGUAGAACCGUCCAAGACAUCAAGGAUAGACAUGACUUUGUGGGGUUGAUAGAAGUCCCGGAUUCCUAUACUGGUCCUCGGCUACAAUUCCCUCUCACCGACACUGAUAUUGAUUUGCUUCUUGAGGCCUUCAAACAACAACAGAUACUUCAUGCUUAUUAUGUCUUAGAGGUGCUGUUUGAAGCCAGGAAAGCCCUGAAGCAAAUGCCGAAUUUCACUCAUACAAAAACUUCUGCCUCCAAAGAGAUAACAAUCUGUGGUGAUUUGCAUGGGAAACUGGAUGAUCUUUUUUUGAUCUUCUAUAAGAAUGGUCUCCCCUCAGGAAGCAACCCCUAUGUCUUUAAUGGUGAUUUUGUAGAUCGAGGAAAAAAUUCCAUAGAAAUUCUCAUGAUCCUGUUUGUGAGUUUUCUUGUCUAUCCCAAUGACAUGCAUUUGAACAGAGGGAACCAUGAAGAUUUCCUGAUGAAUUUGAGGUAUGGCUUUACAAAGGAGAUUUUACAUAAAUAUAAGAUACAUGGGAAAAAAAUCUUGCAAGUCUUGGAAGACGUCUAUACCUGGCUCCCCAUUGGUACAAUCAUUGACAAUGAAAUCCUGGUCAUACAUGGUGGAAUAUCAGAGUCCACAGAUUUGAAUUUACUCCACCACAUAGAAAGAAACAAGAUGAAAUCUGUGCUAAUGCCACCAGUUACUAUUGAUGAAGAUCUUGUUGACCUAAAGAAAAAUAGAACGGGUUCAACUGCUAUUGGCUCUGGACGCAAAUUGAAUGGAUGCCUUUCUGAGCAGUUAACAAAGCGUGAAUGGGAGCAGGUUGUCGAUAUUUUGUGGAGUGAUCCCAGAGGCAAAAGGGGCUGCUUCCCGAACACAAGUAGAGGUGGGGGCUGCUAUUUUGGACCAGAUAUUACAUCCAAGAUUCUGAAUAAAUACCAGUUGAAGUUGCUUGUUAGAUCUCAUGAAUGCAAGCCUGAAGGGUAUGAAAUCUGUCAUGAUGGGAAGGUUAUUACUGUCUUUUCUGCUUCUAAUUAUUAUGAAGAAGGCAGCAAUCGAGGAGCUUACAUCAGGGUAGCUUCUGGGUCAGCCCCUCGAUUUUUCCAAUACCAAGUAACUAAGACAACAUGUGCGAGGCCUCUUUAUCAAAGGGUGAGGAUUAUGGAAAGUAGUGCCAUCAGGAUAUUAAAAGAGAAAAUGAUUUCACGAAAAACUGACCUUGUUAAUGCUUUCCAGCUUCAAGAUCGCAAUAAAUCAGGAAAACUUUCAAUGAGCCAGUGGGCUUUUUCUAUGGAGAAUGUUUUGGGGCUGAACUUACCUUGGAGGUCCCUGAGUACACAUCUGGUGGAAACAGAUGAGGAUGGAAAUAUUGACUACAUGUCCACCUUCCAGGAUCUCCACAUUAUAAAACCUGUGAAAGAGGCCCACUCUACCCUAAUUGAAAUUCUGUACAGAUACCGAUCUGACCUGCAAAUCAUCUAUAAUAUCAUUGACUCUGACCACUCAGGCCUGGUCUCCAUAGAAGAAUUUCGCUCCAUGUGGAAACUUUUUAAUAGUCACUAUAGUGUGCAUAUUGAAGAUUCCCAAGUCGAUGAACUUACCGAAAGAAUGGACUUAAACAAAGAUGGAAGCAUUGACUUUAAUGAGUUUUUAAAGGCCUUCUACGUAGUGCAUAAAUUGGAUAAGUCGAACAAAUCAGAAAGCAGCAAUCCUUAACAAGAAUUAGGGCUUUCCCCCUUAAACAGUUGGGCCCAAGCCAUUGGCACAUCUUUUCCAGAAUCCUUAAAAUUCAUAGUCAGUAGUCAAGAAAAGUAGGUCCCAACUCACUCUACAAGCAGAUGUCUGGUGUGGGUAUUAGCAGUCGCUAGUAAGCUGUUAUUGAUAAGACUAAGUUAAAUGUCAGCUAAUAGCAUUUGGCUCCAGUGUUAGGACCCACACAUUGCCAGAUAGAAACUGGAUUUGAGCUUAGUGUUGGUGUUUUAGAUACCACCUAGCAGGAGAUCAGAAGAAUUUCAAAGCCUUUGAAAAGAACCCACAGGGAAAUAGAGAAAAGCACAACAUCUGUGAAUGGCUACAAUGGAAAGCUAAACUAUUAAUGGAAUAAAAUACUUCGAUCUUCAAAUUGUAAUCUUCUUUGGAGAUACUCAUCUGCCUGCCUCACCUGGAAGCUUGUUAGAAAUGCAGAGUCCCAGGCUCUACUGCACACCUACUGAAUCAGAAUAUGGAUUUUAACCAGAGCACCAGGUCAUUUGGACAUACAUUCAGUUUGAGAGAAGAAGGUGCAAGGAACUUCGGAUCCAUCCACUGAAGGCUCCCGGGAUCCGUGCAAGCAUACAAGUGAGAAGUGAGGUGACAGCAUUGGAGCUUGCCUGCAUAUGUGUGCUGAGUGAGCAAGUACUAUCAUCCCCACUUGACAACUGAGGAAAUUCACAAAGCGACUGUCAUCCAGGCCACACCGCUACAAAAGAACCUGUCAGAACCCAAAGCCCAUAUUUCUGGCUAAAGACUCAGAAGCAUAGCUGUCACAAUCGUUUCAUCUUGUCCCAGAUGGGCUGUCACUUGGAGUCCAGGAAAAGGCUAAUGAGGCUGGAGGAUGGUCAUGAAAAACAUGAGGCAAGUUGGCAUGU